This 223-nucleotide unclassified non-coding RNA is filed under the name Hevea brasiliensis (rubber tree). Lineage: Eukaryota; Viridiplantae; Streptophyta; Magnoliopsida; Malpighiales; Euphorbiaceae. The record is from RNAcentral.
UGGGAAGUGUUCAUCUUUAUUUUCUUUAACAUAGCGAUUUGUUUAUUAUAAUAUAUUGUAAUGAUACAUAUUUUAAAGGUUGGUGCUUGACGGACGUGGUUUUUGUCUGCUAGUGAUGUCAUCUUUGCCUUUUUUAGGAUAACCCACUGUUAGUGGGUUAGUGUUUAUAAAACACCAUAGCCUUGCCAUUCAUUGCCUCGUCCUCCCUCUAUCUCUUUUUGAC